UGGGGAAUAUUGCGCAAUGGGCGAAAGCCUGACGCAGCAACGCCGCGUGGGUGAUGAAGGCCUUCGGGUCGUAAAGCUCUGUCGGAGGGAACGAAUGCUCCUGAAGUUAACAGCUUCAGGAGGUGACGGUACCCUCAAAGGAAGCACCGGCUAACUCUGUGCCAGCAGCCGCGGUAAUACAGAGGGUGCAAGCGUUGUUCGGAAUCAUUGGGCGUAAAGGGUAGGUAGGUGGUCUCGUUUGUCUGAGGUGAAAGCCCUGGGCUUAACUCAGGAAGUGCCUCAGAAACGGCGAGACUGGAGUCCUGGAGAGGGUCGUGGAAUUCCCGGUGUAGCGGUGAAAUGCGUAGAGAUCGGGAGGAACACCAGAGGCGAAGGCGGCGACCUGGACAGGUACUGACACUAAACUACGAAAGCGUGGGGAGCAAACAGGAUUAGAUACCCCCGUAGUCCCUGAGCGGGCUGGCAAGGCGCAU
RNAcentral lists this ribosomal RNA (473 nucleotides) under uncultured bacterium. RNAcentral describes it as "bacterial SSU rRNA". It matches the Rfam family "Bacterial small subunit ribosomal RNA", at positions 355 to 825 of the family's 1533-position model. The record is from RNAcentral.